Molecule: ribosomal RNA, 233 nt
Filed under: uncultured bacterium
Lineage: Bacteria
Description: partial 16S ribosomal RNA
Source: RNAcentral
CUGCUGCCUUCCGUAGGAGUCUGGGCCGUGUCUCAGUCCCAAUGUGGCCGGCCAACCUCUCAGUCCGGCUACUGAUCGUCGCCUUGGUGGGCCGUUGCCCCACCAACUAGCUAAUCAGACGCGAGUCCAUCUCAGAGCGAUAAAUCUUUGAUAUCCAGAGCCAUGCGACCCAGAUAUAUUAUGCGGUAUUAGCAGCUGUUUCCAGCUGUUAUUCCCCACUCCAAGGCAGGUUA